UACCUAGGUCUACCUCAUAGAGUUGUUGUG
RNAcentral lists this non-coding RNA (30 nucleotides) under Mus musculus (house mouse). Lineage: Eukaryota; Metazoa; Chordata; Mammalia; Rodentia; Muridae. The record is from RNAcentral.